Long non-coding RNA from Leguminivora glycinivorella, 719 nucleotides. RefSeq lists it as uncharacterized. NCBI's taxonomy places the organism in Eukaryota, Metazoa, Arthropoda, Insecta, Lepidoptera, Tortricidae. The transcript has 2 exons. The record is from RefSeq and is a predicted model, not a curated record.
AUUUAACAAUCAAUUUUAUAUUUACAUUAAUUAUCUUAUUCUACUUUUCUAUUUUAAAGUACGACUAAGAAUAAAAUAAAAUAAUUAUGUUUUAAAAAACCUCUGUAAUAGACAUCGCAAGGUUAAUCCGACCGUCCAUGCGCUAUUCGUAUCAACUGUACUACGACCGGUCUGAGCUGACGUCACGGAAUAAUCUGGAACUGGCGCGAGCGCUGCCCCGCCGCGCCGCCCAGUCAUCAGUCCGCGCCAGCCGCCAAACGUUACGCACGUACGUACCGUCGCGCACACGGGCCAGCCCGUGUCGUCUCGCGCGCUGUACAAAUUAUAAUUUUAAUUAUUUUCUGGUGGGCGCGGACACCUGCAAAUUUAUUUAAUUUAAAUAUAUUCGGCGACGUAAUCGCGAAAUAACGAGUUCCCGCACCCACGUACUGGGUGCGCCGUUAUUUUUAAAAAAGAAGACCGUUCGGCCGACGUGUCACACCGUCACCAGCAUCCACACACACAACAUCCAGACGGCUGGGUUGGAGCCUGAGUCGUUCGCCCGCCGUCGCCCCUGCUCCUCUUCAGCGCUGGUCCCCACACCUGCUGCGGACCACCGUCAUAACCACCAGCCAGGGCAGUACCGCUCCGCGGUGGCAAAUUUUAGACCCGGGCCUUGACCACCCACGACCCUAUUUCAAAUUUUAGUUUUUAUUUAAUAAAUUAUUUUUGUUAACGUA